Molecule: ribosomal RNA, 744 nt
Filed under: Escherichia coli
Lineage: Bacteria; Pseudomonadati; Pseudomonadota; Gammaproteobacteria; Enterobacterales; Enterobacteriaceae
Description: partial 23S ribosomal RNA
Rfam family: Bacterial large subunit ribosomal RNA
Source: RNAcentral
GCAUGGAGCCGACCUUGAAAUACCACCCUUUAAUGUUUGAUGUUCUAACGUUGACCCGUAAUCCGGGUUGCGGACAGUGUCUGGUGGGUAGUUUGACUGGGGCGGUCUCCUCCUAAAGAGUAACGGAGGAGCACGAAGGUUGGCUAAUCCUGGUCGGACAUCAGGAGGUUAGUGCAAUGGCAUAAGCCAGCUUGACUGCGAGCGUGACGGCGCGAGCAGGUGCGAAAGCAGGUCAUAGUGAUCCGGUGGUUCUGAAUGGAAGGGCCAUCGCUCAACGGAUAAAAGGUACUCCGGGGAUAACAGGCUGAUACCGCCCAAGAGUUCAUAUCGACGGCGGUGUUUGGCACCUCGAUGUCGGCUCAUCACAUCCUGGGGCUGAAGUAGGUCCCAAGGGUAUGGCUGUUCGCCAUUUAAAGUGGUACGCGAGCUGGGUUUAGAACGUCGUGAGACAGUUCGGUCCCUAUCUGCCGUGGGCGCUGGAGAACUGAGGGGGGCUGCUCCUAGUACGAGAGGACCGGAGUGGACGCAUCACUGGUGUUCGGGUUGUCAUGCCAAUGGCACUGCCCGGUAGCUAAAUGCGGAAGAGAUAAGUGCUGAAAGCAUCUAAGCACGAAACUUGCCCCGAGAUGAGUUCUCCCUGACUCCUUGAGAGUCCUGAAGGAACGUUGAAGACGACGACGUUGAUAGGCCGGGUGUGUAAGCGCAGCGAUGCGUUGAGCUAACCGGUACUAAUGAACCGUGAGG